Molecule: non-coding RNA, 74 nt
Organism: Caranx melampygus (bluefin trevally)
Lineage: Eukaryota; Metazoa; Chordata; Actinopteri; Carangiformes; Carangidae
Source: the annotation of a GenBank genome assembly
GGCACGGUGGUGCAGUGGUGGUGCACUGUUGCCUCACAGCAAGAGGGCUCUGGGUUCGAACCCCCGGCCAGCUG